GAGUUUGAUCUUGGCUCAGAUUGAACGCUGGCGGCAUGCCUUACACAUGCAAGUCGAACGGCAGCACGGGAGCUUGCUCCUGGUGGCGAGUGGCGAACGGGUGAGUAAUGCAUCGGAACGUAUCCUGGAGUGGGGGAUAACGUAGCGAAAGUUACGCUAAUACCGCAUAUUCUGUGAGCAGGAAAGCGGGGGACCUUCGGGCCUCGCGCUCUUGGAGCGGCCGAUGUCGGAUUAGCUAGUUGGUGAGGUAAAGGCUCACCAAGGCGACGAUCCGUAGCAGGUCUGAGAGGAUGAUCUGCCACACUGGAACUGAGACACGGUCCAGACUCCUACGGGAGGCAGCAGUGGGGAAUUUUGGACAAUGGGGGCAACCCUGAUCCAGCCAUGCCGCGUGAGUGAAGAAGGCCUUCGG
Molecule: ribosomal RNA, 412 nt
Filed under: bacterium enrichment culture clone ALO1_GLFRUDD03FQ5ZB
Lineage: Bacteria
Also listed under: 10 other names
Description: bacterial SSU rRNA
Rfam family: Bacterial small subunit ribosomal RNA
Source: RNAcentral